RNAcentral lists this small RNA (127 nucleotides) under Marmota monax (woodchuck). The record is from RNAcentral. Lineage: Eukaryota; Metazoa; Chordata; Mammalia; Rodentia; Sciuridae.
GCCGGGUGCAGUGCUGCAUGCCUGUAAUCCCAGCAGCUCAGGAGGCUGAGGCAGGAGGAUUGCAAGUUCAAAGCCAGCCUCAGCAAUUUAGCAAGGCACUUGGCAACUCAGUGAGACCCUGUCUCUA